CAGUAGCCGCGGGAAUACGAAGGGGGCUAGCGUUGUUCGGAUUUACUGGGCGUAAAGCGUGCGUAGGCGGUGAGUUAAGUCUGCUGUGAAAUCCCCGGGCUCAACCUGGGAAUGGCAGUGGAUACUGGCUCGCUAGAGUGUGUCAGAGGAUGGUGGAAUUCCCGGUGUAGCGGUGAAAUGCGUAGAGAUCGGGAGGAACAUCAGUGGCGAAGGCGGCCAUCUGGGACAACACUGACGCUGAGGCACGAAAGCGUGGGGAGCAAACAGGAUUAGAUACCCCCGUAGUCCCUGUCUCUUAUAC
This 301-nucleotide ribosomal RNA is filed under the name uncultured bacterium. Its description in RNAcentral is "partial 16S ribosomal RNA". It matches the Rfam family "Bacterial small subunit ribosomal RNA", at positions 509 to 807 of the family's 1533-position model. The record is from RNAcentral.